This 428-nucleotide ribosomal RNA is filed under the name uncultured Luteitalea sp. Its description in RNAcentral is "bacterial SSU rRNA". It matches the Rfam family "Bacterial small subunit ribosomal RNA", at positions 355 to 774 of the family's 1533-position model. The record is from RNAcentral. Lineage: Bacteria; Pseudomonadati; Acidobacteriota; Vicinamibacteria; Vicinamibacterales; Vicinamibacteraceae.
UGGGGAAUUGUUCGCAAUGGGCGCAAGCCUGACGACGCAACGCCGCGUGGGGGAUGAAGGUCUUCGGAUUGUAAACCCCUGUUGGGUGGGACGAACACUUCCAUGGUGAACAGCCAUGGAGACUGACGGUACCACCUGAGGAAGCCCCGGCUAACUCUGUGCCAGCAGCCGCGGUAAUACAGAGGGGGCAAGCGUUGUUCGGAAUUACUGGGCGUAAAGGGCGCGUAGGCGGCCUGUUAAGUCAGACGUGAAAUCCCUCGGCUCAACCGGGGAACUGCGUCUGAUACUGGCGGGCUUGAAUUCGGGAGAGGGAUGUGGAAUUCCAGGUGUAGCGGUGAAAUGCGUAGAUAUCUGGAGGAACACCGGUGGCGAAGGCGGCAUCCUGGACCGACAUUGACGCUGAGGCGCGAAAGCCAGGGGAGCAAACG